ACGAACGCUGGCGGCGUGCCUAAUACAUGCAAGUCGAACGGUCUUUCUAUGGAAGCUUGCUUCCACUGAGAAGAUAGUGGCGAACGGGUGAGUAACACGUGGGUAACCUGCCCAUAAGAGGGGGGAUAACAUCCGGAAACGGGUGCUAAUACCGCAUAGUUUUCUUGAUCGCAUGAUUGAGAAAGGAAAGACGGCCUUUGUGCUGUCGCUUAUGGAUGGACCCGCGGCGUAUUAGUUAGUUGGUGAGGUAAUGGCUCACCAAGACGAUGAUACGUAGCCGACCUGAGAGGGUGAUCGGCCACAUUGGGACUGAGACACGGCCCAAACUCCUACGGGAGGCAGCAGUAGGGAAUCUUCCGCAAUGGACGAAAGUCUGACGGAGCAACGCCGCGUGAGUGAAGAAAAGGUUUUCGGAUCGUAAAACUCUGUUGUCAGAGAAGAACAAGUUGGAGAGUAACUGCUCCAGCCUUGACGGUAUCUGACCAGAAAGCCACGGCUAACUACGUGCCAGCAGCCGC
RNAcentral lists this ribosomal RNA (518 nucleotides) under uncultured bacterium. Its description in RNAcentral is "bacterial SSU rRNA". It matches the Rfam family "Bacterial small subunit ribosomal RNA", at positions 29 to 518 of the family's 1533-position model. The record is from RNAcentral.